GCGUUCUCCAGCGUUGCCAUGACGUCAGGCAACAUCAGCAGCAUGGAGUAGGAGCUGUUGAAGGGCAGCUGAAGGACCGUGGUGUUCAGCACGUGGUCGUGAUAGGUGUGGAAACGUUCCUCCAUGUUCAUCAUGGCGACUGAACCUUGGUGUUCUCGUCCACGUGGAAGUCGUCCUG
Etheostoma spectabile (orangethroat darter) is the source of this 178-nucleotide long non-coding RNA. RefSeq lists it as uncharacterized. Lineage: Eukaryota; Metazoa; Chordata; Actinopteri; Perciformes; Percidae. The record is from RefSeq and is a predicted model, not a curated record. The transcript is spliced from 2 exons.